AUUGAACGCUGGCGGCAGGCCUAACACAUGCAAGUCGAGCGGAUGAAGGGAGCUUGCUCCUGGAUUCAGCGGCGGACGGGUGAGUAAUGCCUAGGAAUCUGCCUGGUAGUGGGGGAUAACGUCCGGAAACGGGCGCUAAUACCGCAUACGUCCUGAGGGAGAAAGUGGGGGAUCUUCGGACCUCACGCUAUCAGAUGAGCCUAGGUCGGAUUAGCUAGUUGGUGGGGUAAAGGCCUACCAAGGCGACGAUCCGUAACUGGUCUGAGAGGAUGAUCAGUCACACUGGAACUGAGACACGGUCCAGACGCCUACGGGAGGCAGCAGUGGGGAAUAUUGGACAAUGGGCGAAAGCCUGAUACAGCCAGGCCGCGUGUGUGAAGAAGGUCUUCGGAUUGUAAAGCACGUUAAGUUGGGAGGAAGGGCAGUAAGUUAAUACCUUGCUGUUUUGACGUUACCAACAGAAUAAGCACCGGCUAACUUCGUG
RNAcentral lists this ribosomal RNA (484 nucleotides) under uncultured bacterium. RNAcentral describes it as "partial 16S ribosomal RNA". It matches the Rfam family "Bacterial small subunit ribosomal RNA", at positions 30 to 507 of the family's 1533-position model. The record is from RNAcentral.